GACGAACGCUGGCGGCGUGCUUAACACAUGCAAGUCGAACGGUGAAGCGCCUUCCUUUUUGGUGGGUGGGGAGGAGGGGCGAACGGGGGAGUAACACGUGAGUAACCUGCCCCCUUCUUCUGGAUAACCGCAGGAAAGUGUGGCUAAUACGGGAUAUUCUGGGUCGGUCGCAUGAUGGGUCUGGGAAAGAUAUGGUUUCGGGGGGGGAGGGGCUCGCGGCCUAUCAGCUUGUUGGUGGGGUGAUGGCCUACCAAGGCGGUGACGGGUAGCCGGCCUGGGAGGGUGGACGGUCACACUGGGACUGAGACACGGCCCAGACUCCUACGGGAGGCAGCAGUGGGGAAUAGUGCACAAUGGGCGCAAGCCUGAUGCAGCGACGCCGCGUGAGGGAUGGAGGCCUUCGGGUUGUGAACCUCUUUCGCCAGUGAAGCAGGCCUGCCUCGUUUGUGGGUGGGUUGACGGUAGCUGGAUAAGAAGCGCCGGCUAACUACGUG
RNAcentral lists this ribosomal RNA (494 nucleotides) under uncultured bacterium. RNAcentral describes it as "partial 16S ribosomal RNA". It matches the Rfam family "Bacterial small subunit ribosomal RNA", at positions 28 to 507 of the family's 1533-position model. The record is from RNAcentral.